RNAcentral lists this ribosomal RNA (531 nucleotides) under uncultured bacterium. RNAcentral describes it as "bacterial SSU rRNA". It matches the Rfam family "Bacterial small subunit ribosomal RNA", at positions 983 to 1509 of the family's 1533-position model. The record is from RNAcentral.
GACAUGCUGAGAACUUUCCAGAGAUGGGAUUGGUGCCUUUCGGGAACUCAGACACAGGUGCUGCAUGGCUGUCGUCAGCUCGUGUCGUGAGAUUGUUGGGUUAAGUCCCGUAACGAGCGCAACCCUUGUCCUUAGUUACCAGCACGUAAUGGUGGGCACUCUAAGGAGACUGCCGGUGACAAACCGGAGGAAGGUGGGGAUGACGUCAAGUCAUCAUGGCCCUUACGGCCAGGGCUACACACGUGCUACAAUGGUCGGUACAAAGGGUUGCCAAGCCGCGAGGUGGAGCUAAUCCCAUAAAACCGAUCGUAGUCCGGAUCGCAGUCUGCAACUCGACUGCGUGAAGUCGGAAUCGCUAGUAAUCGUGAAUCAGAAUGUCACGGUGAAUACGUUCCCGGGCCUUGUACACACCGCCCGUCACACCAUGGGAGUGGGUUGCUCCAGAAGUAGCUAGUCUAACCUUCGGGGGGGACGGUUACCACGGAGUGAUUCAUGACUGGGGUGAAGUCGUAACAAGGUAAGCGUAGAUGA